AAGAGUGUCUGAAGAAGCCACCCCCCACCCCCUCAGGACCCUCCCUCUCUCUCGUCCCUUUCGAAACUCACCCUUUAGAGACCCCCAAAGAACCCUAGAAGCCACCACCAUUCUCCCACUGCUUUAGGGUGAGGCGCCACCUCCAAUCCCUCCCAAAUUAACACUCUAUGAGCCCCACGACCCCUUCUUCCCAAAUCCCUGGUCAGUUUCCUUUGAAUCUUUCUGGAGUUUCUCGAAUUUUAGAUCGAAGAUGAACCCUAAAAAUCCCAAGUCGAGAUUUUGUUGAAAUUUUGGGUCUAAUCUGAUUUAUUCAUGUGCUUUUUGUAAGAGCACACGAUUAAAAUUAGAUUUGGCCGAAAAAUCAAAGGAUUUGAAGACUCAGAAUCCACUAUUCAUUGUUUGAGCUUUUAGUAGGUAUUUUCUUCUUUUUCUUCGGUUUAAUCUAUUAUUAAUUCUUUUUUUCUUCCGUUUCUCUGUUUCUGCUUUUCUUCAUGGUUCCUUUUUUAUUUUUUAUUCGUUCAUGCAUGAGUAACUAUGAAUCUGUUUUUGGUCAGUAUGGUUAAUUUCAGAGAGUAAGUCAUUUAGGCUAAUUUUUAAUUGACGAAACAUUUCAGCAUGUGUUAUGUGGUGCUUAUAGUUUGUUAAUUAGAUAAGUGUUAGUUUGGGGCUAAUUGGUUUUCUGAAUUCGAUAUGAGCUUUUGGGUAAAUUCUAAUCCAUCUUGAGUCUGAACCAUUGGCUCAAAGUUUGGCCCAUGACUCGUUCUGGUUUCAGGGGUUAAUUUCAUAGGUUAUAGGGGUAAGUUGGGAAAACUGGGAAAGGGAAUCUAUGAGUAACUUAUUAGGAAGCUUCUCAGAAGCUGUGAAGGGGACCUAAAUGAAAAUUCUGUUUUACACUAAGGUUCCCCAAGCAAAAAUAAAAAUCAGAAAAGGACUAAGGUGCAAAAACUUAUACCUAAGGGAGUUCCCUAAUGCCAUGCCUAUAAAGGCACAUUAACUUUGCAUUGAAGGCAGAACAAAAUAGAGAUAAAAAUCUGAAAAUCAAAAAUGGCUAAGAAUUUAAGAGAAGACUAUUGUUGCGUUGAAUUUCCAUCUCUGAUUCUUGAGGUUUUCAACUUCUGAAGCAAUUUUUGAUUCAUUUGGAGUUUGAAAAAUGGUUUGAAUUAGAAGCCAUAGCUGAUUUUCUGUGAUUUGAAAUGGUUCUAAUAUUUUGCUAAUUUUGGAUUUAAAAAAUGCACUGAAAUUGCUAUUAUGUUGUUAAUUGCUGCUACUAGAUUGAUGUUGAUCUCACCUUCUUCUUCUAAUAUUCUGUAGUUAUUUUGGUUGCAUCCAGGUACACUUUCGAAUCAUUGCAAUGGAAAUGUAAAUAUUGAAUGAGAAGUGGUGUUUCAAUAUCCAUAUUUCUGCUCUUUUCUAAAGUCUAAUUUUAGUAGUUUUGUUGUGCUUUGAUAUUUAUCAAUUGCAGUUUUAAUUGAACUUAGUAUUAUUUCAAUGAAGGUCAUGUAGUUGUUUGUAAUUGUAAAAUUGGACUUUCAUUUUAUUUCAGUAGUUUCAAGUGUAUUCGAAUGAAUUUUUAGCUUAGUAUUAAAGGCCUAAUGACAUGAUAUACUACUGCUUGGUCACUAGUUUAUGUACUGAAACCAAUGUUAUAAUUAGCUUAGAUGUAUCUUUGUGUUGGAUGUACUUGAAGAGUAGAUAAAUUUUUCUCAAAUAAUAUCAAUUUAAGGGCUCUUAAGGUGUCAUCUUUGAGGGUUGACUGGACUACCCUGCACUUAGUAUAUCAGUAUAUGCAAAUAGGUGUAUGCAUGUUAGUUAAAAAAAUCUGAUCCAUGGAAUUGGUCUAUUAAUUGUCUUUGAUCUAAUGUUUGGAGUUGAACAAGGUUAAGUCUAUGUUAGCAAUUGUAUUCUUCUGAAAUCAUGUUGGUGAUGGGUUGGAUUCAAUGUUUUGCUUCCUUUUAUAUUUCUGAUAUUGAAUCCAUGUUAGCAAUUUCUAUUUUGAAGUCACGUUGAUAUUUGGUUAGAAGUCAUGAAUGAUGUUAUACUUUAAAUGGUGAAACAAACUGUAGGUGAGCUUUAUAACAUCAUGUAUGGCAUCUUUGUCAUAGAAUGUCAUUUGGUAUUAAAAAUACGCUUCAUAUCCGUUUAAGAUUGGCAAAAGUGGUCAGAACUUGUUCAAUCUCAAGAUUUCUCAUAAAGAACGUAAUUUGUUUCAAGUGAUGGUCAUGAAUCACGCAGAUGGGCCUUUGUCAUUAGCCAAGUUAUGUCUGAAGCCUCUUAGCUGAUCUAGUCUGGUUUUGGGCCUUACCUCGAGCCUAAUUCCCUUGUAUUGCUUGGCUAUUGUUACCUAAGUCUAGGAGCUGUUUCUUGUCCAAAUAUGGGCCAAUAUAGUGAUUGCAUAGGUUGCUCGUAGCUAUAUAUGCAGAACUUAAUUUAAAUGUGAACUCCUUAGUUUUUCUUUUAUUAAAUGUGAUCCACUUUAAUUGGUGGGGGUGGGCUAUAUUAGAUAACUUAAAUAGUUUAUUGCCAUCCAAAUGUAGUUUGAAUUC
RNAcentral lists this long non-coding RNA (2543 nucleotides) under Nicotiana benthamiana. RNAcentral's name for it is "long non-coding RNA (NBEN_LNC031514)". The record is from RNAcentral. Lineage: Eukaryota; Viridiplantae; Streptophyta; Magnoliopsida; Solanales; Solanaceae.